Long non-coding RNA from Bactrocera neohumeralis, 2735 nucleotides. RefSeq lists it as uncharacterized. NCBI's taxonomy places the organism in Eukaryota, Metazoa, Arthropoda, Insecta, Diptera, Tephritidae. The transcript has 3 exons. The record is from RefSeq and is a predicted model, not a curated record.
UGUCGAGAUGCCCCGUUAUGAAACGGAGCGACCGAUUGACAUGAUUUUAAUUUUUUCUAUAUUCAAUAAAAUAGGAUAGAUAUAUGAACUACGCGGAGAGAAAUAUAGAACCGAGUUUGAGCAAUCUUUUAAUUCAUAUUCGUUGAUGUUCACAAGUUGUUGUUGAGAGUCGAGAGCUCAUGUAGUCGUUAUCUAAGAGACCUCCUAGCUGCAGCGCCCACAAGGGGGCGUUAUCGCCCACUUUGGGAAACACUGCUUUAUAUUUUGUAGAUUGGGAAGAAUCGUUGAACGCGUUUGAAUUAGCGAGGAUGAAACCGAUUGUUCGUCAUCAGCCAUGUUAGGCGCAGUGGCUUGACCGUUGCGCAUUUGAAGACACGAAAUCAAAUAUAUAUGUAUAUACGAGUACCUGCAGUGAAGAAUGUGAUGCUGUUGUUAUAGAUGUAUCAAAAGCAGAUUAGCAAUCCGAUGAAACUGUACUGUAAAUAGUCCCGUAUCCUUGCACGGAGACUGAGACGAGUUGACGUACUGUCGGUAACUUCGACGGAUGUUGAUGAGAAGAUCUGUAACGUACGCUAAUAAAAACACGUGUAAUAUUUAUGUAUGAUUACAGCCAGAAUUGCUAUUUGCGCUUGCCCGGGUACAAUAAUCUAAUUAUCCGUUAAUUCAAGUUGUUGGAUACCGUUACACAGCUUAUUGAUGAGAUGAUGUGGACAAAUUCCAUGUGAUUAAACAAACUCAGAGCCAUCUCUUGCCAGAAUUACACAAAAAUAAUUACUUAAAUUAACUUUGGCAUUAAUCUAUUGGCUUUUCUUGAUCGAAAAAUUUAAUACAGAACAUACAUACAUAUGUCCUGUCGCGGUCGCCAAAUUAUAGAGGAGCCCAAUAACAGAUUAAUGUCCGGUUAAUAAUUUAGUUUUAUUUAAUUUGGGUUUUAAUUAAUUUAAUAAUGUCUUAAUACUUUAUUAUGCUAGCACCGGUUUUUUACCUUAUUGUGUCUAAUUUUCUCAUUAGCUAUGUAAGCUUAUGUGUAUAUUUUAUGAGGGCGUAGGUAUGAAAUACGUAUGUUUGUGCGUAUAUACUAUAUAUAAGUAUGUACCUGCUUGCAAAGUUCAAGCGAAAAUGAGCAUAUAUAAAAUCCGAUUAUGUACAUGGAUGUAAGAAUUGAUGAGCAUAUGCAUAAGCGGUACUCUCCCAAAGGAGAAUAUGCUAGUUCACGGUCAUCCGAUUUUGCACAGUAACAUGAUUCUGACCAAACACAUACCAUAUUCUCAAAUUCUUGUAGGGUUUACAUAGGCAGUGUAUAAAAAUAAUUUUAAUUACCUAAUUUGUAUACUUACCAAAUAUAUAUUUACAUAUUACAUACAUGACAUAGAUAAAAACCAUUAAAUUGUCAAACAUAAUAGAGGGAUUCUCUUCGCUUAAGAAAUGGUCGAGAAAAUUUCCUGCGUUCAAUUCUCUUGUGCUAGUAUGCAGCUCUAAAGAAAUCUAAAACUAAUUUUUAAUACAUUUUUUGAAUAAAAUGCGUUUCUUGAAGGAAAAUCAAAGUAAUCAUUAAAUUCAUCCUACACUUAGUUAAAAUCAAUAUUAUUAAAUAUAUGUAUAGGCUGUUCACGAUAAGGUGGUUAUCGGGUUAUGUGAUUAAGUAAACAACAACGAAAUGCCCUAUGACAAAAUAACCAACUUUGGCCAACCUAGGCCCUUGUUUACAGAUUAUGUGGUUGUUUGCUUGUUUUGCUUAUUUGGAAUUUAACUAAAUGGCAGCACAAAAAAUUAAUAAAACUAAGCGAAUUGCAUUUCCAUUUCUUAGAUUUUCUUAUUGGAACUGCUGUUUUUUGUUUACAAUCAGCACAUUAAAACCGGAAUAAAAAGCAUCAAUAAUCACCAAAAAUCAUCAAAUGUCUACAGAAAUACGAAAGCGCCGGCGAAAAAAGGACGUGAAAAAAUGGACGGAAGCCGAAAUUAAAACAGUGCUGUGCUAUAUGCAGGAACACCGAAACAUCGAGGCGAGUUUUCGACAAAUUAGUUAUAUAUUUUGAUUUAAUUACAUCUCCUUUAAUUUCAGAAACCAACAGCGAUAAUCUAUUAUAGUAAGUUGCUUGCAGUAACAAAUAUUUAAGCGACAUGGAAGAUUCUAAAAUGUAAGGUUCGGUAUUUAAAAAGCCAAAUGAAAUCGGCAGAACACUGGCUAAAUUCCACGGGCGCUGGAGUAGAGGAUGGCGAUGUAGAGCUGACAGUGAUGGAUAAAGUGCUUAAAAGUUGUCCGCAUUACAAACAAUUAGCGGACAUUUUUGCUACGGAGAGGGAAGCUGAGGUGGUGAUAAUGAGCUCCUCUGCAAUGGAACUCGACUCUGUGGAAAAUGUUGUGGAUAAUUUGGAAGACCUCGCAGGAAGAACAUGACAUUUCUGAAUUGGCAUCUGGCUCAUCUGCGGCCAGCCCGUUUGCAAAAAAAAUUAAGGCCAAACACCAACACACUGCCAUUGAUAAACUGGCUGCAUUAGAAUCUGAACGAAUGAGCUUCAGAGAAAAACAGCUUCAAUUUGAAAUUGAAAAAUUCAAUUGGAUGAAAGAAGCUGAAGCAAACAAAAAUGAAAAUGAAAAGAAAAAAAUUUAAUACGAUUUCCAACUCACAAAAAUGGAGUUGGAGCAAAAUGAAAAAAUGAGAAAAUUGGAAAUAUAAAUAAAAUAUAAAAAUAAUAAUUAUAAUAUAAUAUAAUAACCAAUAAACAAAUAAAUA